This 58-nucleotide transfer RNA is filed under the name Deroceras reticulatum. Its description in RNAcentral is "tRNA-Gln". Lineage: Eukaryota; Metazoa; Mollusca; Gastropoda; Stylommatophora; Agriolimacidae. The record is from RNAcentral.
CUUUAAAAGGUGUUUUGCACAAGAAGAUUUGAGUUUCUAGGAGGUUACCCUUUAAAGA